This 564-nucleotide ribosomal RNA is filed under the name Morchella americana. Its description in RNAcentral is "partial 28S ribosomal RNA". It matches the Rfam family "Eukaryotic large subunit ribosomal RNA", at positions 52 to 629 of the family's 3401-position model. Lineage: Eukaryota; Fungi; Ascomycota; Pezizomycetes; Pezizales; Morchellaceae. The record is from RNAcentral.
GGAGGAAAAGAAACCAACAGGGAUUGCCUCAGUAACGGCGAGUGAAGCGGCAAAAGCUCAAAUUUUAAAGCUGGCACCUCCGGUGUCCGCGUUGUAAUUUUGUGAGGCAUCUCCGGGUGGGGCGCCGGCCUAAGUUCCUUGGAACAGGACGUCAUAGAGGGUGAGAAUCCCGUGCUUGGCUGGCUGUCCCCGUCCAUGUGAGGUGUCUUCGACGAGUCGAGUUGUUUGGGAAUGCAGCUCAAAAUGGGUGGUAAAUUUCAUCUAAAGCUAAAUAUUGGUGGGAGACCGAUAGCGCACAAGUAGAGUGAUCGAAAGAUGAAAAGCACUUUGAAAAUAGAGUUAAAAAGUACGUGAAAUUGUUGAAAGGGAAGCGCUUGAGACCAGACUUCGGUGGGGAGUGAUCAGCCGUCCUUCUGGGCGGUGCACUUGCCCCCCUCCGGGCCAGCAUCGGUUGGGACGGCGGGAUAAAGGUCCCGGGAAUGUGGCUCCUCUCGGGGAGUGUUAUAGCCCGGGUGAAUGCCGCCAGCCCCGACCGAGGACCGCGCCUUCGGGCUAGGAUGCUUG